Verticillium albo-atrum is the source of this 71-nucleotide transfer RNA. It matches the Rfam family "tRNA". From Rfam's summary of the family: Transfer RNA (tRNA) molecules are approximately 80 nucleotides in length. Their secondary structure includes four short double-helical elements and three loops (D, anti-codon, and T loops). Further hydrogen bonds mediate the characteristic L-shaped molecular structure. tRNAs have two regions of fundamental functional importance: the anti-codon, which is responsible for specific mRNA codon recognition, and the 3' end, to which the tRNAs corresponding amino acid is attached (by aminoacyl-tRNA synthetases). tRNAs cope with the degeneracy of the genetic code in two manners: having more than one tRNA (with a specific anti-codon) for a particular amino acid; and 'wobble' base-pairing, i.e. permitting non-standard base-pairing at the 3rd anti-codon position. NCBI's taxonomy places the organism in Eukaryota, Fungi, Ascomycota, Sordariomycetes, Glomerellales, Plectosphaerellaceae. The record is from Rfam.
GCGUGAAUGGUUUAGUGGUAAAAUUCUCCGUUGCCAUCGGGGAGCCCUGGGUUCGAUUCCCAGUUCACGCA